This 120-nucleotide ribosomal RNA is filed under the name Helianthus annuus (common sunflower). Lineage: Eukaryota; Viridiplantae; Streptophyta; Magnoliopsida; Asterales; Asteraceae. The record is from RNAcentral.
GGUUGCGAUCAUACCAGCACUAAUGCACCGGAUCCCAUCAGAACUCCGCAGUUAAGCGUGCUUGGGCGAGAGUGGUACUAGGAUGGGUGACCCCCUGGGAAGUCCUCGUGUUGCAACCCC